GCCCUAGUAGCUUAAGCCAAAGCGCCGGUUUUGUAAUCCGGAAACGGGAGUUAAAAUCCCCCCUAAGGCC
Molecule: transfer RNA, 70 nt
Filed under: Thryssa kammalensis (Kammal thryssa)
Lineage: Eukaryota; Metazoa; Chordata; Actinopteri; Clupeiformes; Engraulidae
Also listed under: 1 other name
Description: tRNA-Thr
Rfam family: tRNA
About the family: Transfer RNA (tRNA) molecules are approximately 80 nucleotides in length. Their secondary structure includes four short double-helical elements and three loops (D, anti-codon, and T loops).
Source: RNAcentral